Molecule: non-coding RNA, 621 nt
Organism: Paramuricea clavata
Lineage: Eukaryota; Metazoa; Cnidaria; Anthozoa; Malacalcyonacea; Plexauridae
Source: the annotation of a GenBank genome assembly
GUCAAAACGAUUUUAUUUUCACAAUUUUCAUGAUUCUUAGAUACACACAAAAAGCAGUUGUACCCUGCUGGGAUAUUAUGGUGUAGCAAUUUUAGUCUAUAGAACAAAUAAUUUGGAACAUUUUUGCAGGCACAUUUACCCUCCUUGUCCAAUAUAGGUGUGUUUUACUAAGCACUAUCGUGCAGCAGAUGGUGGGCAACCUUGUCAUUAUUUGUAUUGAUCUAGGCUACGUUUACACUUGUACCGGAUAGCUUUCCGUAGCGAUGUGAAAAACACCUAUCCGUACCUUUUAGGAAUGCUAUUGUUGGAGGAAUAGACCUUUCUCCUUUUAAGUGAAAUUUUUAUCUAGACUAGCCUGCGGACAAAAAUUUCAUCACAGCUUGAGAGAGCAUCACAAAAUUAGUAAUAUUCCGAAGUUUCGUUGCAAAAUGUUUACCCUGGAACCAGAGGGUAUUUAUUUUCGCCUGUAAAAAACCUCUGGGCCAGGGUACAAAAUGUUGUAAAAUGGGGAUAAUAUAGCCUUGCGAAGUUUGCUGUUUUUCAGUCAUUUUGUAUUACAAAUGGGAAAUUGAUGAUCAGUUUGAUCAUCUGAUUAUCAAUUUCCCGUUUGUAAUGCAAAAU